RNAcentral lists this transfer RNA (72 nucleotides) under Camelus ferus (Wild Bactrian camel). It matches the Rfam family "tRNA". Rfam says of the family: Transfer RNA (tRNA) molecules are approximately 80 nucleotides in length. Their secondary structure includes four short double-helical elements and three loops (D, anti-codon, and T loops). The record is from Rfam by way of RNAcentral. Lineage: Eukaryota; Metazoa; Chordata; Mammalia; Artiodactyla; Camelidae.
GAGGGUAUAACUCAAUGGUAGAGCACAUGCUUAGCAUGCCUGAAGUCCUGGGUUCAGUCCCCAGUAUCUCUG